RNAcentral lists this long non-coding RNA (1275 nucleotides) under Helianthus annuus (common sunflower). RNAcentral's name for it is "hypothetical non coding rna". The record is from RNAcentral. Lineage: Eukaryota; Viridiplantae; Streptophyta; Magnoliopsida; Asterales; Asteraceae.
UUAAAUUUUCAUUUAUAAUAAUAAUAAUAAUAAUAAUAAUAAUUUUAUCAGAAAGAAAGACAGACAGACAGGGCACAAGACAACAAAUACAUGUUACUUUCUCUUUGUUUCUUAAUUAGUAAUAAUAAUUAAAAAGUAAGAAAGCUAAACAGCUAGCUACCUAAGCACAUCCUUUAGGAGCAAACCCGACCCGUGAACCGGCCAAAUCAUACACCACCCGGAACCCUUGUUGCUGGAUAUUCCCAAUAAUAGAUAACCCACUAGUGGUUCCCGCAAAUGCCAGGCAGAAGCUCCCAUUGCUAUCGACCGGAAUCAAGUAAUUCGACGCCGGCAACGACACGUCAGCACCUUUGAAAUGCAUCACCACCGUUGGCACCUUCACCUCCGUCUUCCCCGACAGAUCGAAACACGCGUCGAAAAGUGAAAAAUUGGGUCCCCUCUUCAAAUGAGAUGCUCCGGACAAGAAGGCGUUUCGCAGCGCCACGUAAGCCGGUCGAGUCAAGCGGGUGACCGAGGUCCCUGAGUCGAUGAUGACCCCGCCAUUCCCUGAGUUGUCCAGCUGGAACAAGGAGCUGGAGAUUCCGGGUACUCGAACACCCCCUACUGAUAUACCUGCGAGUCCCACGUAGUAAAACGUGUCCAGUUUGGGGUUACUGACUAAAGGAGUGAAACGCGCCACACGCGAAACGGCAGCGUUUCCAAACACCAAAGAGGAUGGUUUAGCCGACAUGGACCUGUCCACUAAACAAUACGAAAACUUUGACCCGAACUGACGACCCGCCUGGUUCGGGAAAGAUAACUUUCCCCGGCCCAGGCCCAAUAGCCCGGCAGCACCAACAAAGAGGCCCUCGUUAUCGUGACCACACCCAAAAGCAAUAUUAUUGACUUUUGUUUUCCUGAACGUAAGGGUUUCGGUGGAGAACUCGCCGACGGUGAAGGAACCGUCACCGUAGGACACCUGGUACAUACAUUUCUUGUUGCGGUUGUUGCACCCGGGGGAAUCAAGGCGGUUACAGAGGGGUGUACCGCAGGCAACGCCGGCGAAGGUCUUGGAUUUGGUGGGGUUGAAGAUGGGGGUGUUUUCGGUUAAUGAUAAUUGUUCUUCUUCUGAUGAUGAUAGAGGGAGGGUGUUUGUGUUUGGUUGAGGGAGGGUGUGAGAGGAAGGGAUUAGGGUCUGGUAUUUGGUAGCGUUGGUGGAGAGGGAGAACAGGAGGAGGAGGAGGAGGAGGGCGGUGCCGGUGAAGAAACCGGCCAUUGUUUUGUUGUUCAAGUGGA